AUUUGAGUGAGUGGCGGACGGGUGAGUAACACGUGGGUAACCUGCCCUAAAGUGGGGGAUAACAUUUGGAAACAGAUGCUAAUACCGCAUAAAACCUAACACCGCAUGGUGUAGGGUUGAAAGAUGGUUUCGGCUAUCACUUUAGGAUGGACCCGCGGUGCAUUAGUUAGUUGGUGAGGUAAAGGCUCACCAAGACCGUGAUGCAUAGCCGACCUGAGAGGGUAAUCGGCCACACUGGGACUGAGACACGGCCCAGACUCCUACGGGAGGUAGCAGUAGGGAAUCUUCCACAAUGGACGAAAGUCUGAUGGAGCAACGCCGCGUGAGUGAAGAAGGUUUUCGGAUCGUAAAACUCUGUUGUUGGAGAAGAAUGUAUCUGAUAGUAACUGAUCAGGUAGUGACGGUAUCCAACCAGAAAGCCACGACUAACUACGUG
Molecule: ribosomal RNA, 436 nt
Filed under: uncultured bacterium
Lineage: Bacteria
Description: bacterial SSU rRNA
Rfam family: Bacterial small subunit ribosomal RNA
Source: RNAcentral